Long non-coding RNA from Bombus huntii, 307 nucleotides. RefSeq lists it as uncharacterized. The record is from RefSeq and is a predicted model, not a curated record. Lineage: Eukaryota; Metazoa; Arthropoda; Insecta; Hymenoptera; Apidae. The transcript has 2 exons.
UAAUGUAACUGUUGAGAUAUGUAUAAUUUUCUGUGCUGGACUAGGUUAAAUGCGUAGUAGAGAUACUUGUAUGUGAAUAUCAGUGUGUGGAAGUAUGUGUGUCCGAAGCGUCUCGAAAACAAAUGAAUGUAAACUCUUCAGUCGGUUAAGGUCCGUCGAAGAGUCGGUUAAGAGUCGUCGGAGAGUCGGUUAAGAGUUGUCGAAGAGUCGGUUUACAGUCGGGUAUAGAAGAAAAUGCUGAGACGCGUGCAAGUGAUCCUAUGAAGAAAAGUAUCCAAAGAGUGAAAAUAGAAAGCUUACGUGAAGU